AGUAACACUUUAGCCAUGCUGAAGAUAGCUCUUGUUCUUGGAUGCCUCCUGAGCCUCAUUGUGGCCGAACCUAUGGAGCACCAGCGUUUUGCUCGCUCUGAUUCAUCUUUUUCUGACUCAUAUCAGAACACCACGACUACAAACACAGCAGCAGGUGCAACAACUAGCAGACCUGAACUAAUUCAUUGUUCAACUACUUCAAUUGCUUAACCAAUAAUGAUCAGAAUCAAGACUUGCUGUUAACCAGAAUACUUCUUCACACUCAUUCACUGGAUAUAUAUGAUUUAGAACUGCCUAUAAACUUAAAAAAUAAACCCUCU
Long non-coding RNA from Cyprinodon variegatus (sheepshead minnow), 320 nucleotides. RefSeq lists it as uncharacterized. The transcript is spliced from 4 exons. Lineage: Eukaryota; Metazoa; Chordata; Actinopteri; Cyprinodontiformes; Cyprinodontidae. The record is from RefSeq and is a predicted model, not a curated record.